This 356-nucleotide long non-coding RNA is filed under the name Homo sapiens (human). Its description in RNAcentral is "non-protein coding lnc-CDC42SE2-6:1". The record is from RNAcentral. Lineage: Eukaryota; Metazoa; Chordata; Mammalia; Primates; Hominidae.
AGUCACGGGGUCUGCCUUGGCGUUGUGGUUCCGUCUUCUCCAUCCGUUGGAGACACCGGAAACGCGCUGAGGACCUGAGCAAAAAUAGCAUUUUGGGGCAGAACCGUGGGGAGGCGUUCUGACUGGAGAGAACUGUUGUGCCCAAAUCCGGAAGCCCAGGGUGUGGCCAAGUCCGGCUUUGCGCUCUCCUCUGCAACUUCUACUGCCGACUUUGAAUAUGCGGAAGUAGAAGCCGCCAUUCGGCAAAGAAGGAAUUCCACGCACACCUCAUAUCUCUUUAAAUAAAACGAGAUCUCUUGUGAAAGCUGCCGACAGAGAAGUGCUUGAUCUAUUCGAAACGGACGUCCUGAGACCAG